Molecule: ribosomal RNA, 503 nt
Filed under: uncultured bacterium
Lineage: Bacteria
Description: partial 16S ribosomal RNA
Rfam family: Bacterial small subunit ribosomal RNA
Source: RNAcentral
GAUGAACGCUAGCGGCAGGCCUAACACAUGCAAGUCGAGGGGUAGCAGGAUUAAGCUUGCUUAAUUGCUGACGACCGGCGCACGGGUGCGUAACGCGUAUGCAACCUACCUUAUACUGGGGUAUAGCCCGGAGAAAUUCGGAUUAAUCCCCCAUAGUACUAAUGAAUCGCAUGGUUUAUUAGUUAAAGCAUUGCGGUAUAAGAUGGGCAUGCGUCCUAUUAGCUAGAUGGUGAGGUAACGGCUCACCAUGGCUACGAUAGGUAGGGGGCCUGAGAGGGUGGUCCCCCACACUGGUACUGCGACACGGACCAGACUCCUACGGGAGGCAGCAGUGAGGAAUAUUGGGCAAUGGGCGCAAGCCUGAACCAGCCAUGCCGCGUGCAGGAAGAAUGCCCUAUGGGUUGUAAACUGCUUUUAUUUGGGAAUAAACCUCUUUACGUGUAGAGAGCUGAAGGUACCAAAUGAAUAAGCACCGGCUAACUCCGUGCCAGCCGCCGCGGUAA